AUCCAACUGACGAGUUUCAAAUAGGACGAUACGCGAGUCGAAUUGGAG
This 48-nucleotide non-coding RNA is filed under the name Schistosoma curassoni. Lineage: Eukaryota; Metazoa; Platyhelminthes; Trematoda; Strigeidida; Schistosomatidae. The record is from RNAcentral.